UACGGAGGGAGCUAGCGUUGUUCGGAAUUACUGGGCGUAAAGCGCACGUAGGUGGCUUUGUAAGUUAGAGGUGAAAGCCCGGAGCUCAACUCCGGAACUGCCUUUAAGACUGCAUCGCUUGAAUCCAGGAGAGGUGAGUGGAAUUCCGAGUGUAGAGGUGAAAUUCGUAGAUAUUCGGAAGAACACCAGUGGCGAAGGCGGCUCACUGGACUGGUAUUGACGCUGAGGUGCGAAAGCGUGGGGAGCAAACAGG
Molecule: ribosomal RNA, 253 nt
Filed under: uncultured bacterium
Lineage: Bacteria
Description: partial 16S ribosomal RNA
Rfam family: Bacterial small subunit ribosomal RNA
Source: RNAcentral